CUUUGAGAGAUUAGAAUUCCGUCUCCUUACACACAUAUGCAGGGUCUUCUCACGGGCACAUAUCUAGGAGAAUUCCUGGCUCAAACUGUACGAGCAGUUUCAGCCUGAGCAGAUCUGUUGAAGCCUUUAAUCAGAGAAUCCACCCACCUCCAGUAUUAGGGAUUUAUAUGACCAGUGAUCGACCCUCAGUGAGCACAUGACUUCACUUGAACCAAUCAGAAUCUUUCCCUGAGGAUUUAUAUGUGUCUGAGAACUCUGCAGGCGGCAGACAUCAAAAGGACCAAAGAUUCUGAUAGUGAGUCAGCCGCCCACGGCAAUGAGACUUAAGCUCCAUGAUAGCAGGGACUUGGCCUUAUUCACUGUUCUAACCCCACACCUGGAAUCGUGCUUCACCCAAACUGAUGUAUCAGACAUUUCUGUGUCCCACCCUACACCCUCUUGGCCAGCAUUGAACUGCAGCUGUUGCUGUGGCAACCAGCUGUUCACAGGUAGGACCUGAAAGCAACUCAAGUUUAAGUCACUUAUUUCAUGUAUCUCUCACUUUCUUCCCUACAGCUUCUCGUCCCCACUCUACACGUGGAAUAGUUGCAAAAACCUUCUCAUCCUGAUGCAUCUAUAAACCUAGAAAUGCAAGAAAAUUUACACUCUAAUGAGGAACACUUGACCAACGGGGGAUGGA
This is a long non-coding RNA of Manis pentadactyla (Chinese pangolin), 679 nucleotides long. RefSeq lists it as uncharacterized. The transcript is spliced from 5 exons. NCBI's taxonomy places the organism in Eukaryota, Metazoa, Chordata, Mammalia, Pholidota, Manidae. The record is from RefSeq and is a predicted model, not a curated record.